CUUUUUUUCCAGGAAAAUGUCCUUUGAAACAAUUUGAAUAUUUCAUUAAUUUAACUUACUUCUAUCUGACUUUAGGAAAUACUGAAGAAAUACACUUAGAUGUUGAAUUUGCACAAUGUUAGAAGA
This 126-nucleotide small RNA is filed under the name Marmota monax (woodchuck). The record is from RNAcentral. Lineage: Eukaryota; Metazoa; Chordata; Mammalia; Rodentia; Sciuridae.